This 138-nucleotide unclassified non-coding RNA is filed under the name uncultured Chaetosphaeriales. RNAcentral's name for it is "sequence contains ITS1". The record is from RNAcentral. Lineage: Eukaryota; Fungi; Ascomycota; Sordariomycetes.
CAGGACUCGCAAGACUCCCGUAACCCACGCGAACCUUACCUUUGCAUCGUUGCCUCGGCGGGCUGCGCUCCCUCGGGGGCCUACAACUCUUCUGCUUCUUAAGCGUUGGCAUCUCCGAGUAAAAACACAAACGAAUCA